Molecule: ribosomal RNA, 480 nt
Filed under: uncultured beta proteobacterium
Lineage: Bacteria; Pseudomonadati; Pseudomonadota; Betaproteobacteria
Description: bacterial SSU rRNA
Rfam family: Bacterial small subunit ribosomal RNA
Source: RNAcentral
AGAGUUUGAUCAUGGCUCAGAUUGAACGCUGGCGGCAUGCUUUACACAUGCAAGUCGAACGGAUUUUGGAGCUUGCUCCAGAGUUAGUGGCGAACGGGUGAGUAAUAUAUCGGAACGUACCCGGCAAUGGGGGAUAACGUAGCGAAAGUUACGCUAAUACCGCAUAUGCCCUGAGGGGGAAAGCAGGGGACCAGAAAUGGCCUUGCGUUGUCGGAGCGGCCGAUAUCGGAUUAGCUAGUUGGUGAGGUAAAGGCUCACCAAGGCGACGAUCCGUAGCAGGUCUGAGAGGAUGAUCUGCCACACUGGGACUGAGACACGGCCCAGACUCCUACGGGAGGCAGCAGUGGGGAAUUUUGGACAAUGGGCGAAAGCCUGAUCCAGCCAUGCCGCGUGAGUGAAGAAGGCCUUCGGGUUGUAAAGCUCUUUCAGGUGGAAAGAAAAGGUUACGGAUAAUACCUGUGACUGAUGACGGUACCAUCA